GCGCAGCAGGCGCGAAACCUCCGCAAUGCGGGAAACCGUGACGGGGUCACCCCGAGUGCCACCCGAUGAGGGUGGCUUUUCCCCGGUCUAAAAAGCCGGGGGCAAUAAGCGGGGGGCAAGUCUGGUGUCAGCCGCCGCGGUAAUACCAGCCCCGCGAGUGGUCGGGACGUUUAUUGGGCCUAAAGCGUCCGUAGCCGGCUCGGUAAGUCCCUCCUUAAAUCCACGGGCUCAACCCGUGGGCUGGGAGGGAUACUGCCGGGCUAGGGGGCGGGAGAGACCGAGGGUACUCCCGGGGUAGGGGCGAAAUCCGUUAAUCCCGGGAGGACCACCAGUGGCGAAGGCGCUCGGCUGGAACGCGCCCGACGGUGAGGGACGAAAGCUAGGGGAGCAAAGGGGAUUAGAUACCCGUGUAGU
Molecule: ribosomal RNA, 414 nt
Filed under: uncultured microorganism
Description: bacterial SSU rRNA
Rfam family: Archaeal small subunit ribosomal RNA
Source: RNAcentral